RNAcentral lists this long non-coding RNA (272 nucleotides) under Brassica napus (rape). RNAcentral describes it as "long non-coding RNA (BNAP_LNC023519)". Lineage: Eukaryota; Viridiplantae; Streptophyta; Magnoliopsida; Brassicales; Brassicaceae. The record is from RNAcentral.
AAACAACUCCAAACGAAAAACAUCCCGUGACACUGCCUCCAACUUCUCUUGCAUCCGAUGUUUCUCCUCAGGAGUCUUCUAGAAUAACAAAAUCAUCGUCGGUUCUGCCAUCUGCUACAUUAUCAGCUGGUCCUACCAAACCUUCCCAAGCUGAGACAUCUGGUUCUUUUUGUCCUGCUUCACCUCCAAUAGGAGCUCCCAAUGAUGUGGCUUCACCUCUUGGACAACCGGCUAGAUUACCUCCUCCAGUGUCUAAGUCAGACAAAACACAU